This 468-nucleotide ribosomal RNA is filed under the name uncultured bacterium. Its description in RNAcentral is "partial 16S ribosomal RNA". It matches the Rfam family "Bacterial small subunit ribosomal RNA", at positions 28 to 507 of the family's 1533-position model. The record is from RNAcentral.
GACGAACGCUGGCGGCGUGCUUAACACAUGCAAGUCGAACGGAAAGGCCCUGCUUUUGUGGGGUGCUCGAGUGGCGAACGGGUGAGUAACACGUGAGUAACCUGCCCUUGACUUUGGGAUAACUUCAGGAAACUGGGGCUAAUACCGGAUAGGAGCUCUUGCUGCAUGGUGGGGGUUGGAAAGUUUCGGCGGUUGGGGAUGGACUCGCGGCUUAUCAGCUUGUUGGUGGGGUAGUGGCUUACCAAGGCUUUGACGGGUAGCCGGCCUGAGAGGGUGACCGGCCACAUUGGUACUACGGGACGGCCCAGAAUCCUACGGGAGGCAGCAGUGGGGAAUAUUGCACAAUGGGCGGAAGCCUGAUGCAGCAACGCCGCGUGCGGGAUGACGGCCUUCGGGUUGUAAACCGCUUUCGCCGGUGACGAAGCGUGAGUGACGGUAAUGGGUAAAGAAGCACCGGCUAACUACGUG